Molecule: long non-coding RNA, 4184 nt
Organism: Astatotilapia calliptera (eastern happy)
Lineage: Eukaryota; Metazoa; Chordata; Actinopteri; Cichliformes; Cichlidae
Source: Ensembl
UCGAGUCAAUAAAAGUUUAUCGUUUAAUGUUUGUCAUUAAUCAUGAAUCCACAACACAGCAGUUUGUUUAGUGAGUAGGAAAAACGUGAGUAUUUACAUCUACCAUCAUACACGUCACAGUUUAUACCCAUGCUAACACAACAAAGACUUUUAUAUACAAGAAAUACUAUUAGCGUCGUCAUACAAAGGAGCGCCAUCGUUGGAACUAUCUAGAUUUGUCAUUGAUGCAAAAUACACAAAAUCAUAAUAAACGUCUCCUCAGCUGCCCUGAAGUGAUCGGGAUAAUUCGACAGAAUGAACUUGGAUCGCUGUGGACCGGGUUUAAAAACUGGUUUACAUCAGAAAACACGAGGCGAGACGAUCACAGUCUACGUGUAUACGAGGUUUGCCCUUCAUGCCCGCGAUAAAUACGCCCUCUCCUCGUUUAUGUACAAAGAAAUCAACGCGUCUCCUCCGUGAGCUCCGUCGGAUUUCCCUCCACGCUCCUCCUUCUAAAGGAAACACAGACUGGGUGGGGUCAGUGGUUUUAGUCUCACACAAAACUUACUUUCUUUUAAAAAAGCACCAAACUACUUUUAAUUUUCCUGCCAUCCGACACGUUCAAGCCAAAGAACAAAAGAAUGAACCGAACGUCCUACAAACAAACCUCUGAUUUGCAUAGUUCAUCUUCACCUGCUUCGAGUUUGAUUCACUGAAAUCUGAACACUUCAUCGCUGCAGACCGAGUAUGCAGGACCGUUUGUUUAAAGCAAGAGUUCACAGCAAAAUCAAAGAUGUCAUUUUAACUGUGGUAACCGUAGUAACCAUUUACACAUCUCUUUUGUUUUGGUGGGAAUGACCCAGUUUUGGAGAUAUUAGGUGCAGAGAUUUCUGCCUUCUUUCUUUUUACUGUCUACAUCCGCCAGCCAAAGGAAAAUGCAGCCAGGUCUCUCUUUAGUGAGCAAAUAAUUAAUAUAAGCUGGUCAAAGUAGGCUGUCACUUUACAUAAAAGAUGCCGUACCCACCAGCGAGGUCGUCCCGUUGGAUAUGAAGGAUGCUGCACAUUCAUAUAGCAGCAACUUGUCAAUUACACCCUGGUUUAUCCACUUGUUUGCCUCCAAUAGAACGACAGCUGAUAAAAUUAAAGUCCUGCCACUAGUGAGACUCAUCAGGUAAAUAUUUACUGAGGUCAUAGUUCAAGCUGCGGGGGUUGUUUUCUCAGACUUUUUUUGCAGGACAAACAGUUGCCCCCUAGUGGCCACUGGAAAGAACGCAACUUCCAGCUUUGUUUUAAUUUUCAGAUGUGGAAGCUACAGCCAUCCUUUAUAUACAGGCCCAAUCCCAGUGUCCAAUCACAGGACGAAACAGACUGUUACCGGGAUAAGAAACAAAAGCACCAGAAUAAAACUGUAACGCAACAAGCACAAAGGAGCAACGACACAAAAGGCAAAAGAAAAUCUAUGCACGUGUGAUUGCAGCAUAUGCAUGUAAAGUAGGUUUAGUUCAGGGAGAAGAAAAUAGUUCCCACAUGAAACAUCUUCAAUAGGUUGUUGCUUCUUCUUUAUUUCUCAGUAGCUGAUCAACGAUCUCAGAUUCUCAGUUUAGCUCAGGUAUAUUUAAAAGACAGCAGAUGUCAAAAUGUUCUAAAAGGAUGAACAGAACUAAAAAUCAGGAGAAAAUAAAGUACAUUUAAUUCUGCUGUGAACUUUUCUUUAGUAAACUGUUGUGUGACUUCUCUCUCUCCCUCUGGUGUAAUUCGAUCCUGAUAUAACACACACUCUCUCACAAACUGCCGUAACAGCGCACACCUUCAUUGUUGCAGUUUCUCGUUGCUGAAAAGCUUCUCUAACCUGCCUGCGUCAUGUAUUUACAGCAUCCCCGCUCACAGCUCUUUGUAGGCUCAGAAGGAUCAAACAUAAACGGGUCAGCACGACUGCACACGGAGCUUUACAGAUAAACAAACACACAGAAUGACAGAAAAGUGAUAAAAAAUUCAACCUUCCAGUGCGUUAUGUGAACUGGAGGUAAAGGUUGCAGGAAGAAAAAGCAAUAAGGUGAUUUCUAAAUCUGGCUUUGUAUAAACGUAUACAUAUUAAUAUCAAUCUUCAUGUUUUGCAAAGGCAACAAGCAUAACAGAUGUGCUGUGAGAAAAACUUUGAGAGCACUCAAAGCUGUUUAAAACAGAGGUAACAUCAUAUGUUGUUGGCAUAAACACAAAGGCGUCAGUGCGAGUCUGUAACAACUGUUUAUAUCGCUGUGAAUACACACAGCGCAUGAAUCCACCAUCAGCUGCACUGAGUGUUAAUAUGGGUUUCAGUUUCAACAGGACAACAAUCAACUCGAACUCUUCGCACAAGGAUGAAAGAGUUGAUCAUUUAGGGAAUAAAUGAACUAAAAUGAUUUUAAAUGAAAUUUAUAACUAAAAGUAGAAGAAGAGAGAAGCUAAAGAUCUAAAAACAGACAGGUUGAAGGAGGUAACUCGAGCCGUGCUGCAUAAUUCACCUGUAACAUCAUCAGUCAGUUCACCAAACACCCGACUUCAUGAAUUCAGCAGUUUUCUGCAAACUGUCCGGGCUGUGGUGCAGCCUCUGUGUGAGCCGCAGGACAGUUUCAUGGCUUUAACUUUUAUAAGUGGGGAAUAAAGAGACUGGAAACGCUCACCGGACACAGAGCACCACUGAAAGUCCAGCUCUGAACUUCCACUGAACAUCUUUAACCAUCACUGCUUCACUCGUAUGUUUAUGGUGGAGAAUUCAAGCAGCGGGCCCGUAUCACUGCUCACACAGCUCACGCCAUGCGUCGCGGCAGGAAAUGCACAUGUGCAACAACUGUCUGAAUGAUGGCUGUUGUUCCAUGUAGCUUACUGGGUCAGUGAAUGCAGCAGACACGUUCACUGAGUGAAUGGGUUAAAUGCAGAGAGGGAUUUUCCCCACGGGGACCAAUAAAGCACACUUUCUUUCUUCUUUCUUCUGACAUUACAGGAGCUGAAUAUUUAAAGUGGACCCGCUCUGCUCAUUUCGAGCUCUAUAUUUUGAUGUUUGGACUCUACCAGAGGAGCUUUGUAUGACUCAUAGUUAAAAAUAACACUGCAAAGUGUCUGAAACAAGCUGCUUCAGUGCCCGUCUCUUUAGACUGGCUGCUCUUUGUAAACAAAACUAUGGUUGUGUUUACUGCGCACAUCCAUCCUGGUGUGACAGAGUCAGAAAAUCCAGAACUGGUCGACUUUAGUAACUCCUGAAAAUGAUUUAAUGGAUGAAGUAAAGUCUGUGAUGGUUCUAAACGUGCAGACGCACUCACACACAGUCUCGUCGUUUCACUGAAAACAAACCUUCAGCUUCUCUAAAGCAGAGAAAGCCAUUCGAGGCAGAGUGCGCACUCAGGUCGCUAAUCCUUAAAUCUAAAAUGUCUCAACCUGACUCACUUUUUCAUCGACAUAUUUUUAUGUGAUGCCUAUAUUUACUUAUGCAUGUGUCCCCUAUUUUAUUGUUUCUGCUUUCAGCCGUUUAUGUAGACAAUGUUGAUUUGAUUUAUUUCGUCGUUGUUCUCUGUCUUAACUUUCAAUUCGUCCCAUCUCGCUCUUCGAUGUCCAGCUUCCUGUUGAAAUGUAUUUUUCUAUUUUUGCCUUUCUGUCAAAGCACUUUGCAAAGACAUCGUGUUAUUAUUAUUUAGCCUCACAGGGGAACAGUUCUGUGUUGGAUUUAUCUAAAUGUAGCUGGGCUUAAGUUCGAAACUACUAACUACAGAGCCACCAGCCAUCAUCACCAACACAAUAUGACACUGAAUCAGGAUUCUGAGUUUUCUGCACCUUUAGGAGGAACCAAAACAGGACAAAGCUCAAACACAACGAUCAGCUUCACCAUGCAAAAUGUGAGAAGAUGAUCAGACACCAGGCAGAGCACAACGAGGAUUUCAAAUAGCCAUGUGAGCUAACGGCUGUUCAACCUAAAAAAGGGGGCGAAGUGAUCAGGAUGACAGUCUGCUCGCAAUCUGAGUGCUAAAUGUAAAAAGAAUAUUUAAAACAAAACACUAAAGUACAAAAGUAUGACCCUUUGCAGUACUUUUACACGUCUACUACUAAAUCCUGCUGAUUCAACAUCCUUGGUGUUCAAAGUGGUUUCCUAGACUACAAAGACAUCAGUGCACAGUACAGUAUUUCUCCAGUGCUUCCAGUGCUUCACCUCACAGUCUCUGUUCAGUGAAUGAACA